CCUCCCAAGCCGUAGUUUCUAUUUUUAUUCUGUUUAAAUAUGUACACGUGAUGUGGACGCCGACGUCUCUUUGGAGAUGUGAAUUUAUGCUUUGGAUGAAUAAUUCAAUUAUACAAACACGUUGGACUUUGACGUCAUCAGUGGUCGACCAGAACAAAAACAUGGCGGAAAGUCAUUCGGCUUGACUUCGAAUACUCAACCUAAAGAAUCCUCAGAAGUGUCUGGACCGGACAAAUUUACUUUUUUUUGGGUUGAGGAGGACGAGGAAGGGAGUCCUAUCCCAAAGAGGAGGAGAACAGGGAAGAAGCGGGCAAAGAGUUCAUCCUCAGUGACUUCUGGGAGCAUGCACUCAUUGCCAUGUGCUCCAUCUACAAGUGGACAUCAGCACGUGACUGAGACCGUUCAAGAUAUAUAUUUUAGCAGCAGUUUAUUUACCCUCUUCUUUCCAUGUUUGUCUUAUUGCUGCUAUAUUUGGUUACCUUACCCUGUUUUCUAGGAUCCCUCAUUCAAGAGGUGCAGGACCUUUUGGGACCUGCCAUAGACCCAGCACCUUCACACUGGAAAGACAGGAAAGCUUCAACUCUGGAAAAGUGGACUGUGUUAAGGCCGUAUAUGGUUAAUCAGAUGUUACAGUCUGAGAAGCCUAUAGAGGGAACUUGUCACCACUGCAGAUCUAAGACUGCUGUUGUGAAAUGUCAGGAUUGUUUGCCUAGACCACUUCACUGUGCAGCCUGUGAUGUUUCCAUCCACAAUUCCAUGGUUUUCCAUAAUAGAUCAUCCAUGAUAGAGGGAUUCUACAGGCCACUGCCACCAACCACUCACAUCAGGGAAGAGAAGGGAGGAAAAUUCUCCUUCCAUGAAAGAGAGUGCAUUUUGCCAGUAAUGCAUCCAUGCUAUGACUGCUGCUCUGGGCAAACAACCUUUUCUGCAGGAAAGCAAGUAAUUCUGAUUGGAAUGAAUGGUCGAUACAAUGUGUCCCUCCCAACUGUCAGCUGCUCCUGUGGGAAAGCUUUGGAUGUCGGUAUUAGUGAGCUGAUUGAAAGUGGCUACUGGCCAGCUACAGUCCAUUUUGAGACGCUGUACACAGUGGAUUUGUUCGCUACAUACGAAGAGCUCAAGAUUACUGCACCAGGAAUGUAACGACAAGCUUUCGUUGGUAUGCUUGAGCAGCGCACAAAACUCUUUGGUCGGGUUAGUACAUCAUUGGACUAAUUGCCUGCAGAAUUGAAAGAGUUUAUGUGGCGACACCAUACAAAAAUCAUUCCUGGAAUGGUCGUACGCAAAAUUUGAAGUUGAGAGGCUGUCUGAAGUCGAUCAGUUUCGGUGCCCAGCCUGCACACCCUCAAUGUUACCUGUCUCAGUGGAUGGGAACCGCAAGCUUUAUCGCUUUAAGAGCCAUUCAGGGUAUGUAUAAGUUGUUUCUACGGCAUGCAAUACAUGGAACCUUGAUAAAGGUCACCCCUGCUUUAUGUCUUUUAGACCAAAUAGCUUUUUCGAAGGUGUCUUCUUGGCCAACGACACCGAAGUGACCUCCUUCGUCAACCACAUCAGGGCAUCAACAGGACAUAAUCCUGGGAAAGGCAGGUGUGGUGGAAGCGAAUGGGUGGCUUCACGAGAGUCCUCCAACAAGUCUGCGAGUAAAGUAGAUGAGGAACGGGUCGAGGUUGCAGUGUGUCGUCAUGGCAUUUUGCUGAAGGGACUGAACAUGUUCCGUGGGGAGAUAUUUGCCUAUCCUUUAUAUCUCCAGAAACAGCUUGUUUCACACAAUGUUCAGUUUUUUUGCUCUGAUGUGGUAUGCAAAUAUUGACCAUAUUUGCAGAGGGUUGUUGGCCACUGUCCUGAGUUACAGGUCCUGUUGAACAUGCAGCCCUUUCUCUCCAUCAUGCACGCUAAAGCACAUUCAUGGAUGUGUGAGGUAAUGAUUGUCAGGGGCUUUAAUGCAUAUUUCUUUCACUUGGAAUGGGGUGGACGGAACCAAGAGGGAGCAGGAACAACAAUAGGGGAGGAAGUUGAACAGGUGAACAGUUUCCUUUCUUGAGCAGCCCUAUGUUCCAAGUACAUGUCAAAAGCUGGUAAGUACAUUUUUUUUUUGUGUGAAAAAAAAGUUACAGCUAAAGUUGUACAAAUCAACUAGUAACAUAAAUGUGUGUCCAUUGUGCAUUCAGCCCGCACAGACAUCCUUACCAUCCAGGCCAUUGGCUGGAACAAGCGGAAGACAGAAAAUCUUGACCGGACUUUGGCCAAACGACACAUCAAGACUGUGCAGAGGAUUGCUGAAGCGUCUGAGGAGCUCAAGAAAUUGGCUGGAGAGUUGUCUAUUCAGGAAGACACUGUUCAGCAAUGGGUGUCUGAUGUUCAACAGUGGACUGCAGAAGGACCAUGCAGUCAAAAUGAACUUGAAAAAACCAUUGAAGGACUGUAUCUCAGCAUUAAGCAGCGGAAAUAUCAGCUGUAUCGUCAGGCUGAUGGCAACAAGAGAAGACAUCUGCUUAGAAAAAAGAUUUCAGUGGAAAAGAGAUCCUUAGAAGAUGCCAUCACAAAAUACAAUGCUGUUGUGCCAGAAACUGGCAAACUCCCUUCUCCCAACAAGCUCCUGGCUGAGGAAAACUAUUCCUGGCCUUGGGAAUAUGAAGCAAUUACAGGUUUGACCGAGGUUGCUGUGAUUGGAUCAGACAAGCUCCAGAGACAACUUCCUUUUUACUUUUGAAAACUGAAAGAGACACUCUUCUAUAUAAUUCUGUCCCAUGGGAGAAAUUGCCUGGUGUCAUUAGGAGGAGAUGAGUAUGCAGUGUAAUAGAACCCACCUCUGAAAGUACACAGACACUGUGGGCAGUAGUUCACCACUAUAAAAAAUGUAUAUGAUGAUUUGCAGGUCAUGGUGAUAUGUUUAAGAAAAAAAAGGUCUUCGACAAGGUAAUGCUGCUGAACCACCUGAAGGAAGAGGAGGUCAUUGUUGUCCGUGAAGUCAAGCAGCACUGGGAGUACAUGAGGAAUAUGGCUGGAAAUAUUGAAGAGAUUUCCUCCCAGCUUUCAGAAGGGAUCACUCAGCAAAGCGGCACAGAUGCAUUGACUGGGAGAGGACGUGAGGGGCUACUCUUGUCUGCUGAAGAGAAGACUGUCAGCAAUUCAAGCUCAGCAGGGUGCAGCUCGCUCAACGUACCAACGUGUUUUUGGAUCGCAAGCCUUGUCUCUCGAUGAUUCGUCCACUGGUGAUGAAGAACCCCAUGAUAGCAGCUCCUCCACCGAAGAUGAAGAACACUACGAUUGUAGCUCCUCUUCUGAACUUUGACCUCCCUCAUUAAAAAAUUAGGAAAACUGUUGUUAUUGUUGAUUACCUGGCCUGCAGUAUGAAUGUGAAAUGUUAAAAUAAACUGUCCUGCAAUUGACUCUUUUUCUGAGUUAUGUACUAUUACUAUUUUGAAGUAGAUGCUGAUGCUUUUUAUGUAAAUUAUGAAUUAUUAAUUUGAGAUUUGUUGGUAGGGCAGUGAAAUACGGCUUUUCAUGCAGCCUCA
Molecule: RNA transcript, 3512 nt
Organism: Synchiropus splendidus (mandarinfish)
Lineage: Eukaryota; Metazoa; Chordata; Actinopteri; Syngnathiformes; Callionymidae
Exons: 11
Source: RefSeq, a predicted model, not a curated record